Molecule: unclassified non-coding RNA, 161 nt
Filed under: uncultured Chalara
Lineage: Eukaryota; Fungi; Ascomycota; Leotiomycetes; Helotiales
Description: sequence contains ITS1
Source: RNAcentral
CAGAGUUCAUGCCCCUCGGGGCAGACCUCCCACCCUUUGUUAUACAUUGCCUUUGUUGCUUUGGCGGGCCGCCGCAAGGCCACCGGCUCCGGCUGGUGCGCGCCCGCCAGAGAACCCAAAACCCUGUUUUACAGUGUCGUCCGAGUACUAUAUAAUAGUUA